GACGGAGGGUGCAAGCGUUGUUCGGAAUCACUGGGCGUAAAGCGCGUGUAGGCGGUCCGAUAAGUCGAGUGUGAAAGCCCGAGGCUCAACCUCGGAAGUGCACUCGAAACUGCCGGGCUUGAGUACGGGAGAGGGAAGUGGAAUUCCUGGUGUAGAGGUGAAAUUCGUAGAUAUCAGGAGGAACACCGGUGGCGAAGGCGGCUUCCUGGACCGAUACUGACGCUGAGACGCGAAAGCGUGGGGAGCAAACAGGAUUAGAUACCCUGGUAGUCCACGCCGUAAACGGUGAGCACUAGGUGUAGCGGGUAUUGACCCCUGCUGUGCCGCAGCUAACGCAUUAAGUGCUCCGCCUGGGGAGUACGGCCGCAAGGUUA
Molecule: ribosomal RNA, 374 nt
Filed under: uncultured prokaryote
Description: bacterial SSU rRNA
Rfam family: Bacterial small subunit ribosomal RNA
Source: RNAcentral